UACAGAGGGGGCAAGCGUUGUUCGGAAUUACUGGGCGUAAAGGGCGCGUAGGCGGCCCUCUAAGUCAGACGUGAAAUCCCUCGGCUCAACCGGGGAACUGCGUCUGAUACUGGGUGGCUUGAAUCCGGGAGAGGGAUGCGGAAUUCCAGGUGUAGCGGUGAAAUGCGUAGAUAUCUGGAGGAACACCGGUGGCGAAGGCGGCAUCCUGGACCGGCAUUGACGCUGAGGCGCGAAAGCUAGGGGAGCAAACGGG
RNAcentral lists this ribosomal RNA (253 nucleotides) under uncultured bacterium. RNAcentral describes it as "partial 16S ribosomal RNA". It matches the Rfam family "Bacterial small subunit ribosomal RNA", at positions 524 to 776 of the family's 1533-position model. The record is from RNAcentral.